AUUGAACACUGGCGGCAGGCCUAACACAUGCAAGUCGAACGAGUGGCGGACGGGUGAGUAAUGUCUGGGAAACUGCCUGAUGGAGGGGGAUAACUACUGGAAACGGUAGCUAAUACCGCAUACCAUCGGAUGUUCCCAGAUGGGAUUAGCUAGUAGUUAGGGUAAAGGCUUACCUAGGCGACGAUCCCUAGCUGGUCUGAGAGGAUGACCAGCCACACUGGGAAUGAGACACGGUCCAGAUUCCUACGGGAGGCAGCAGUGGGGAAUAUUGCACAAUGGGCGCAAGCCUGAUGCAGCCAUGCCGCGUGUAUGAAGAAGGCCUUCGGGUUGUAAAGUACUUUCAGCCGGGAGGCGUUACCGGCAGAAGAAGCACCGGCUAACUCCGUGCCAGCAGCCGCGGUAAUUC
Molecule: ribosomal RNA, 406 nt
Filed under: uncultured bacterium
Lineage: Bacteria
Description: partial 16S ribosomal RNA
Rfam family: Bacterial small subunit ribosomal RNA
Source: RNAcentral